UGGGGAAUUUUGGACAAUGGGCGAAAGCCUGAUCCAGCAAUGCCGCGUGUGUGAAGAAGGCCUUCGGGUUGUAAAGCACUUUUGUCCGGAAAGAAAUCCUUGGCUCUAAUACAGUCGGGGGAUGACGGUACCGGAAGAAUAAGCACCGGCUAACUACGUGCCAGCAGCCGCGGUAAUACGUAGGGUGCAAGCGUUAAUCGGAAUUACUGGGCGUAAAGCGUGCGCAGGCGGUUUGCUAAGACCGAUGUGAAAUCCCCGGGCUCAACCUGGGAACUGCAUUGGUGACUGGCAGGCUAGAGUAUGGCAGAGGGGGGUAGAAUUCCACGUGUAGCAGUGAAAUGCGUAGAGAUGUGGAGGAAUACCGAUGGCGAAGGCAGCCCCCUGGGCCAAUACUGACGCUCAUGCACGAAAAGCGUGGGGGAGCAAAACAGGAUUAGAUACCCCUGGUAGUCCACGCCCUAAAACGAUGUCAACUAGUUGUUGGGGAUUCAUUUCCUUAGUAACGUAGCUAACGCGUGAAGUUGACCGCCUGGGGAGUACGGUCGCAAGAUUAAAACUCAAAUGAAUUGACGGGGUCAUAGUGUUUCCU
This 589-nucleotide ribosomal RNA is filed under the name uncultured bacterium. Its description in RNAcentral is "partial 16S ribosomal RNA". It matches the Rfam family "Bacterial small subunit ribosomal RNA", at positions 355 to 1375 of the family's 1533-position model. The record is from RNAcentral.